RNAcentral lists this ribosomal RNA (363 nucleotides) under uncultured eukaryote. RNAcentral's name for it is "SSU rRNA". It matches the Rfam family "Eukaryotic small subunit ribosomal RNA", at positions 567 to 938 of the family's 1831-position model. The record is from RNAcentral.
CCAGCAGCCGCGGUAAUUCCAGCUCCGGUAGCGUGUAUUAAAGUUGUUGCAGUUAAAAAGCUCGUAGUUGAAGUAUUGGUAGGACGGACCAGGCUUUUCGGCGAAUGCUGAAGAUUGCUUUUGUGUUUGAUCUGGCCAUGGUUGCUCGUUUGCGCCUUUGGGCGUGGGUGGGCAUCAUUUACUGUAAAAAAAUUAGAGUGUUUCAAGCAAAUCGUAUGGUUGGAAUAGAGUAGUAUGGAAUAAUAAGAUAGGACUUUGUUGCUAUUUUGUUGGUUUGCACAUCAAAGUAAUGAUUAACAGGGACAGUUGGGGGUAUUCGUAUUUGGUUGUCAGAGGUGAAAUUCUUGGAUUUACAAAAGACGA